This 253-nucleotide ribosomal RNA is filed under the name uncultured bacterium. Its description in RNAcentral is "partial 16S ribosomal RNA". It matches the Rfam family "Bacterial small subunit ribosomal RNA", at positions 524 to 776 of the family's 1533-position model. The record is from RNAcentral.
UACGGAGGGUGCAAGCGUUAUCCGGAUUCACUGGGUUUAAAGGGUGCGUAGGUGGCUUUGUAAGUCAGUGGUGAAAGCCCGGAGCUUAACUCCGGAACUGCCAUUGAUACUGCUUAGCUUGAAUUAGAUGGAGGUGGAUGGAAUAUUACAUGUAGCGGUGAAAUGCUUAGAUAUGUAAUAGAACACCGAUUGCGAAGGCAGUUCACUACGUCUAUAUUGACACUGAGGCACGAAAGCGUGGGGAUCAAACAGG